AGUGAACGCUGGCGGUAGGCCUAACACAUGCAAGUCGAACGGCAGCACAGUAAGAGCUUGCUCUUACGGGUGGCGAGUGGCGGACGGGUGAGGAAUACAUCGGAAUCUACUUUUUCGUGGGGGAUAACGUAGGGAAACUUACGCUAAUACCGCAUACGACCUACGGGUGUAAGCAGGGGGUCUUCUGACCUUGCGCGAUUUAAUGAGCCGAUGUCGGGUUAGCGAGUUGGCGGGGUAAAGGCCCACCAAGGCGACGAUCCGUAGCUGGCGUGAGAGGGGGAUCGGCCCCACUGGGAAAGAGACACGGCCCAGACUCCCCCGGGGGGGGGAAGUAGGGGAAAUUUGGGAAAGGGGGCAAGACUGACCGAGCAACGCCGCGGGGGGGAAGAAGGUGUUCGGGUGGUAAAAAUCCGUUUUUAGGGAAGAAAAAGGAUGCGAGUGGAAAGCCCACCGCUUGACGGUACCCAAAAAGAAAGCCACGGCUAACUUCGUG
This 493-nucleotide ribosomal RNA is filed under the name uncultured bacterium. RNAcentral's name for it is "partial 16S ribosomal RNA". It matches the Rfam family "Bacterial small subunit ribosomal RNA", at positions 30 to 507 of the family's 1533-position model. The record is from RNAcentral.